Molecule: long non-coding RNA, 3562 nt
Organism: Gallus gallus (chicken)
Lineage: Eukaryota; Metazoa; Chordata; Aves; Galliformes; Phasianidae
Source: Ensembl
CCAAAGUUCAGACGGACCUCCUGCAGAACCCUGGGGCUAGGAGUAAGAUGCAAACAGUGAGCUACAGAGAAAGCUCCAGGAAUGCGUCUUUUUUGCAAGGAUUGUCUGACCAGGCCUGUUCUACUGGCUUGUCCUAUGGAUCCAAAGCAGGAAAGAUCCCAGUGCUGACUGCCAGAUCUCUUCCAUCGCUCUGGAAGGAGUGUUACAGAGAACACAGAACUGUUGGUGAAGAUGAAAACAGGACUGCUGUCUUUUGUUUUGACUCUUUGCUGUGUUCUGGGAUCACAGGUGUUACUACAAGGUACAGACAAAUGAGAUUCCUCAUCAGUAACUUCACAGAUCUGCAAUUUACUUCUGAGGAAUCAUCCUGGACCCAUUUUACAGUCCAACAAUAUACUUUCCUCUAAAUUGGCAUUGGCAUCCUUUUGGAGUAUGCCCUAGAAGACUCCAUUUGUCUUCACAGACCCUAAUGGACUUCAGCAAAUAGCAGAGAGAGACAUUUAUGCAUGAGGACGGUUAUGUCAUCUGGCUGGUGUAAAUCUCCUGCUUCCUUGUGUGCUGUGAGCAAGCUCUGCUGUUGUGAAGAGGCAGUUUGGCUUGGUGCUGCUACCCAGAGCAAGAGAAAGAGCACUGAGCCCCCCAGAAUCCACCCACACUGUUUCUGCUGCUGUGUUCAAAAAGCCACGGGGCUCUGGGCCCUUGCUGGCAGGAUGGGAGGGACAAGGAACAGCCCUGCAGGUUGGUGACAGAAGGUUUAGCAAAGGGCUCCUGGAAGCCUUCCCUCUGCCAUACUUCCACACGGCGAAUGUUCCCGUUACUACUUGCAAGCUGGUCGCAGAGCACAGCAAAUACCAGGUACAAUAAAGACCCAGACAGCAGAACGGAGUAUAAAUAGAUGAUGGAAUUCCUGGCAUCAGCUCUGGAGCAGUUUGGGACUGGAACGAGUGAAAAAUACAGUUUCUCUAAAAGGGAAAUUUCCUGCGAGUAAAAGCCAAAUGUUCCCCCUUGCUCCCCCUCCUUCUUUCCCCAGAUUCCAGUUUUUCACUGGGGAGAAUCCAAGUGUUUCAAGUGAGCUCAAGCAGAAUUUCGCUGUGUUGAACUGGCCUGAUUUGGGAUGCAAACCGACCUCUGAAAGGCUGAAAUUUCCCGUGGGAGCAGAAAUUCGGAAUUUUGCUCAGCUCCAGUUACUCUGUGCAUGGAAAUGGCUUCCAGCAAACAAACAGCGCAGACAGGAGAUGCACCCGGAAGGCUCACGGCCCUUAGGAAGCUCUGGAAAACCCAAGCUGGAUUUAACAUCAGUGAGAAAACCUGGAAUCAGAGCCGUGUCCCAAAACCCGGAGCUUCUGUGUUGGAUGUCUGCGCAUCUCAGCCUUAGAGACCUGAGCAGGGCUCUGGUUACGCCCCAUGGAGGGAGACUAUGGAGGCUCAAGUCCUGCGUAUGGGAUGGAUGACACCAUAGGGGACAUGUCAUCUCACGUGAGAUAAGUGGCCCAAUAUGCACAUAGUGUGUUUCUGCUUCAUUCUGCUGAAGACGAGCAUUUACACAGGCCGUUCUGAAAGUAAUGCCUCCUAUUUAUUUCCAAAGAAACAACAACAGAUACAAAGAGCACAAUAAUGCUGUUUGAUAGAGCAAAUUCUCAGCUACAAAACAUUAUUCUUCAACAUGGGCACCACCAUCCACUCUGUAUUUUUGAAAGUAAUGAACAAGAGCCUGUGUGCUGUGCUUGUACAGGCAUGCAUCAGUGGAGGUAACCCACUGUCACCAUCUGAAAUGCAGCACCAACUGUGCUCACUGUGCUCACAUCCACCAUUCGAUCUCCAUAAACACUCAGCAAAUGUUGGUGAAUGUCAAUGGAUGCCAUUUUUUCUGCAUGGAGGAUUUAAUUCCACCCCUUUGCUUCAUACAUGCUUCCAUGACAGACACCAUUUUGCCACGCUGUCCCUCAGCUGUUGUUUGUCACACGGCAACAAAACAUAAUGGGAUACUGGUGGGAAGGUUCAGCCUCUACUGCCAUCCAAUCAACAUCUGCUUCUGAUCAUAUAGCAGGAGGCAAUACUUUCAGAGCAGCCCUUGUAUAAUGGCUCUUUUUAGGUGACAUUUUCUUUUGGGUAAUGGAUACAAAAAGAGGAAAAGGGAGAGCAAACCAAUAGAAAAAUCAUAAUGUGAUUGCUUUUAAGUGGCUUUUUUUGACCCGUUGUUUCGAAAAGGUGCCGCAAAUCAGUCAAAGUUUCCUCUUCCCAUCUGCGAAGGUGCUGUUCUAAAUUCAACCUCACACGAAAAUUCAAGCCGCCUCGUCCUCACUGGGGCUUUAAAUCAAAUUAGUUAACUGAAUUAGGAAUGCUUUUUGCUUUUAUACGUUUGGUUGAGACUGAUGAGCCCAGAGCCGUGAAGGAGCUCAGUCUGACUGCAGCUGCUGCCGGACCUGCAUGCAGUGAUCCUCGUGCCCAGAGCUUCCCCGAGCCUGCCCCGUAUUUUCUGCACCAAUGACAAAUACCUGGUGUCAUUGAUAUUCCAUUAGUUUCCUUCACUGAAAGAUCGGACAGCUUUAAAAAGCCAAUAAAUUCCCACACGUUGUCUCUAAGAAAAGGAUAAAGGAUUCCUUGGCGGGCCACACACCAUUAAGCCCCAGAAGCGAGUGGUGUUUUAUGGUUUGCGGAGCUGAGGUCACUGCUUUGGGAUGGAUGCAAUUAAGGCUCACAGAAGCUACCAAAGCCUGCUGCUUCUUCAAGUGCUCUCAAAAAGACACCUUGCUUAGAGGAGUGCUGGUGCAGUUCCCCUUAUUCUGGUCCUGGGAGCAUACCCCAGCAUAUCCCAGUCCUGGGAGCAACCUUGCACCCUCUGACAGGGUGCUGAGGCAUUGGAACAGGCUGGCAGAGAGCUGUGGGUGCCCCAUCCCUAAAGGUGCUUAAGGCUGGGUUGGAUGGGGCCCUGAGCAGCCUGAUCCCAUGGGAGAUGUCCCUGCCUACUGCAGGGAUUGGAACUGGGUGGGUGCUGAGGUCCCUUCCAACCCAAACCAUUCUAUGCAAAGCAGCAUGGAUCCCACCUGAGAAAGCCUCGUGAAGAUCCAGGGAUUGAAUGCAUUUGAAGCCACAGCAUCCACUUGCUCUGUAGACUAGAGGACAUAGGUGUUCACCCACUAUUUCAAAGUGUUUUUUGGGGUGCUGCUUAUCUUCUACCAUGGGCAACGUGCCUACCUUGUGCUCUCCACACCUCAAAAGACGUCACAGAAUCAUUAAGGUUGGAAAAGACUGCUAAGAUCAUCUUGUCCAACCAUCAGCCCAGUGCCUCCAUGCCCACUGACCACGUCCCUCAGUGCCGUAUGCCAUAUCUCAAGCCGCAUGGCCUUCUCUUUGAAUACUCAGACAUUCAAUAUUCGUGAUGUGAAAUUACGGGAGCUUCCUCAUUUCCCACUGUGCUCAGGAACUCUGGAUGCUGUCCCUUUUCAGGUGCAGAGCAGCUUUUGCUGCCUUCAAGCUGACUGCAAGAACAGCCAUUGCACUGCUGGGCAUAAUGGAGCUAAAGUCAGAGCUGGUGUCCUCAGCCUGGACCUGGAAAAAGAGC